RNAcentral lists this non-coding RNA (24 nucleotides) under Arabidopsis thaliana (thale cress). Lineage: Eukaryota; Viridiplantae; Streptophyta; Magnoliopsida; Brassicales; Brassicaceae. The record is from RNAcentral.
AUAGUUAUUUAGGUCAAAUUGCCU